GGAUGCUCCCCUAACGUUAGCCUCCCGAGCGAGCUGCGAGCCAGGGAAGGGCCGGAAACCACGAUAUUUGAGCUACCAAGACGUGCUUUAGAGUCCUUCUUCUUAACCCGAGUUUAGUGGCAAUCCCAACUUUUAACUUUAAGCCUCUCGUUGGUCCAUGAGGUCGUGUACAGCUGCAAAAUGGAAUUCAAAUCAAGGGCUUAUAUGGUUACUAUAAGAACAACCAAAAAAAAAAAAAAAAGAAAGAAAUUAGGUGCCAGAUCAAAGACAUUUUUAGAGGAAAAGAAAAUAAUCGAGACCCUAAAUGAACUGAAGUUGCAUAUAUUCCCGCAAAAUGGAAUCCCUAGGGCCCUAGAUAAUGCCUUGAAAUUUGAAUACAUGCGGCUCCCAAUGUAACUUAGGCAAGUACGAGAUAGCAACAAACACUGACCAUGUUACUUCCUGUAUUAAUUUUACAUUUACAAAGAAAGUUACAUUAUCUUUGUCAUUAUCAUAAAAAUAAGAGUCCUUCCUCCUAGUUCAGCUACCUCACCCAUCUCACACCCAAGAGAAAAAUUAUUAAAUGUAGAAUUUGUUGAUGCUUCAAGACCUAGUUCUGCACACAUGUAUAGCCCCAGGUUCAGUUUGGUUCAUAGUGAUAAAACUUGGAUAUGGUCUCUCUCUCUCUUUCUCUCUUUCUCUCUCUCUCUCUCUCUCUCUCUCUCACACACACACACACACACACACACACACACUCCUUCCCUGCUGCUUGUUUUGCCUAAUGCUGGACUUUGGGACAAUAAUUAGAUCCUGAGAGUCUGGCCUAAUCAGAGGUUAAUACUGAUUGCACAGCUCCAUUGCCCAUGGAAAAGCAGGAGGUGGGGCUAACUGAAGGAAGUAUAUCACUGGAGGUGUGUUCUUAGGGACUGUGUUGCAAUGGCCUCUUCCUGUCAUUGCUGUCUGCUUCGUGUUUGCCGUGAGAGGGGCUGCUUUAUUUCAUCACACACACCCUGCCACGUGUCCAGCCCCACCUCAAGUCCACAGCAAUGGAACCAAGUGACCAUGUACCACACCUCUGAAACUGUGAGCCAAAUACAGUUUUGUUUUUUUACUCAUUUUAAAUGGUCAUAAACUUGUCACAGUGACAGAAAAGCAAACACAGGUGGAGUCCAGGUUCUGGGUAAAUGUUUUCAACCCCCACAAACACUUUCACUAUUAAUUGGAAGAACUACAUUACCAUUUGUUAAUGACUUAAUAGUAUAUGUACCUUCUCCCCAGCCCCAUUCCCAUAUCCCCAAUCUCACCCUACUCUCCAGAUUGACUAACUCCAGACUAACUCCACCCUCUCCCUCCUGGGGACUUGAAACUGACUAGAUUUGUAUAGUGCUCUGAGCCUCAGUGCUUUUUUAGUGGACAUUCUUGCUCUUUGGUUUGGCAUUUCUUCCAAAAUAAAUGCAAUGACCAUUUAUAAACAAUACUAAAGUACAGAAAUGUCUCUCCACCCCUCCCAGUACCAUUGUCCACUACUCCUCAGAAAGGAUUCAAAACUUGUCAGCCGUUUGAUGCAUACGAACUCUCCUAGUUCUGUACUCUAUAGUAAAACACUCUAAAUGUCAUGAAAGGCUGGCUAAGGGUCUUUUUUUUAUCUAUUUAGGUGUUCAGAGAUGGCAAGGAUAGAGGCUGGAGAGAUGGCUCAGUGGUUAGAAGCAUGGUUGCUCUCCCAGAAGACCCUUGUUCACUUCCCAGGGUCCAAAUGGCAGUUAACCAUCUGUAACUCAAGUUCCACAAGAUCUGACUGACACCUUCUAACCUCUGCGGGCACUGCAUGCGUGUGGGGAACAGACGUGCAUGUGCAGACAAAACACCCACACACAUAAAACAAAAUCUCAGAAAAAAAAUAGUGGCAAGAAUAGUUUCCUUGGUGUUAGCAUCUCUGAGCUCUUGAGCAGAGGCUUACUAAGUCAGAGGUGUACAGGCCUAGAGGUAUAUGACUCUAAGCUUUAAAAGGCAGAGGCUUACACUAUACAUGUAAGUAUAUGUAAGUAUAUAUAAGUACAUGUAAGUGGUUCAGGUCAAAGCAAGCCACAGCCCUCAAAGUCAGGGGCUUUUUGCUCCAAAAUUGCUCAGCCAGGCUUGGAACCUUAGGAACUCCGGACAGAGGCUAUCACUCUGGGCACAGAACCCAGCAGCUGGUGUUACAGCAGCAAACCUCAAUUAUCAGGACCCUUGGCUCUGAACCCCCGCCAGCUCUCUGGAAGUCUUGCAUGGAUGGGACUUUCAACCUCACUGACUCCACCCUUCACUGUUUCUUACCUUCGGCUCUUCUCUGUACAGUCUCCUGCCAUGGCCUGCUCUCUGAAGCUCUCGGGCUAUUUUCUCACUUCCGCUGCUGCUGCUGCUGCUGUCGCCACCACCUCUGUUAGUACCCAUGCUGAGGCUGAACACCACCCCAGUGCUCUCUUCUCUCCAUGCAACAAGUUUAGUCCACUCUACCUAUAGUAAAGACUAUGUAUGGGCAAAUGAAAGGCCACUCAAGAGAGACUUUUUAUUGGAGCCUAGUAUGAUAGUACAGAGAUAGUACAUGGAAAAGAAGGCUUCAAAACUGACCCCAUGAGACUAAGAAGCAGGCUGCUUAUAAAGCCAGAAAGGGGGUGUGGCAUCUGUAGGAGCAGCUCCUCGCUCCAUCAGUCAGAGCUUUGCCUGUUUAGCAAUCAUGACCUAGUUCGUGUGUGUCAAUCAAGAACUUUUUUGCUGAGUCACCAGGGAACGUGUUCCCCUUGGCCUAAGCAGACUAUAACUCAAGAUAGGUAGCAUCAUCAAGAUGUCCCUGAGACUUAUCAUGAUGACAGUGAAGUCUCCAAGAGCUGGUGCAAGCUGACUAGGACAGACAUGACAAAAAUGAGACCUCUUAAGCAGCUAUCAUCAUAAUGGUGCUCAAAACUACAGUUGAAUUUGCUCAGUUCCCAUGCAAUGUUCAAAGCAGCCAGGCCACCAUGAUAGCAGCACUCCUGCUGUAGCCCCCUAAAAGGGACUGCUUGAUUGACAUUUUCGAUGGGAAGAGUCUGACAGUUGUCUGUCAAAUGGUGAGUGGCUCAAUCAAGACAGCUUUGAUCAUUUAAAAGGGAAAGACAUGAAAGAGUAUCUACAUUAAAGGCCUAUUGUGAACUAGUACUUACCUCACAGUGUUUAACCUUAUUCAACCUCUACUGAAAGGAAGCUCAAAGAGAUUUGAGUGCCUUGUAUCUGUCUCACAAUGACUGGUUAGGGAAAGUGUCUUUCCAUAAUUUCAAGUGGAACCUUUCGUAGCCAUGUCAAAUAAAAACCAAAUAUGAGUUAAGGACAGCAACUGAGGAGAUUUUAGCCUUUAGACAAGAAUAAUUAGCAACUUAGUCUAUUGUAUAUAGAAAGUCCAGUCUCCACAUGUACAAAUCACCUGCAUGUGUGUACAGAGAUUUUUAACCAAAACAGUGGAAUCUUAUUAUACAUAUUAUUGUGUGUUAUCAUUGUACCAAUUAAAGCAUCACAGAUACCCUUUUAUAUAUCACUAAUAAUAAUCAUGGCUAAUAAAAUACUAAUUCUUCCUGAUAC
RNAcentral lists this long non-coding RNA (3567 nucleotides) under Mus musculus (house mouse). Its description in RNAcentral is "long non-coding RNA chr4:58912892-58916459". Lineage: Eukaryota; Metazoa; Chordata; Mammalia; Rodentia; Muridae. The record is from RNAcentral.